UACGGGGGGGGGCAAGCGUUGUUCGGAAUUACUGGGCGUAAAGGGCUCGUAGGUGGCCAACUAAGUCUGACGUGAAAUCCCUCGGCUUAACCGGGGAACUGCGUCCGAUACUGGUUGGCUUGAGUUUGGGAGAGGGAUGCGGAAUUCCAGGUGUAGCGGUGAAAUGCGUAGAUAUCUGGAGGAACACCGGUGGCGAAGGCGGCAUCCUGGACCAAUACUGACGCUGAGGAGCGAAAGCCAGGGGAGCAAACGGG
Molecule: ribosomal RNA, 254 nt
Filed under: uncultured bacterium
Lineage: Bacteria
Description: partial 16S ribosomal RNA
Rfam family: Bacterial small subunit ribosomal RNA
Source: RNAcentral